RNA transcript from Exaiptasia diaphana, 3738 nucleotides. It is a transcript of the gene named tRNA-splicing endonuclease subunit Sen2, with no coding region annotated. The record is from RefSeq and is a predicted model, not a curated record. The transcript has 14 exons. Lineage: Eukaryota; Metazoa; Cnidaria; Anthozoa; Actiniaria; Aiptasiidae.
AUGGCGGCCGACAUUCUCAAAAACCCGCGAAAGAAAAARGGAGCUAAAAAACUAGCUAAAGAAUCACCGUUUCCUGUCCCAAUAGAGAGCAUUACUAAGAAGGAGGCCUGCGACAGUAGAUGGUUUUAUUAUACAGGAUAUUUUCGUGAUAAUUGCGUUGUGGUUGAAGACCUUGGGGAUUUGACGUUCUUGUACAAAAUGGGUUUCUUUGGUAAAGGAAAUUUGUCAAGAAGCAAACCAGAGUAUGAAAUUAUCUCAGACAUUUCACAAAAAGCAUUUUCAAAUUCAGACAAGCUCAGAAGAUUACCACCAAAAGAAAGACAGAUAAGGCAAUCAAAAUUUAGAGAAAUCAGGAAAGAAAGACACAGAAAUCAUUCUCAUUGGCAAAGGUUAGCAAACUUAUCCGAAGAUAAUGAAUGCCAUACAUCUCAAAGAACAAAUGAAGAAAGUGAAAUGAAGAAAGCACAGCAUGAAAAUGAUACUUCAGAAGAAGAGCCAUGUAAAAAGAUGAAGAUGGAAGAGGAUGAAGUGGAUUUAUUUGAGGAUGAUUCUGAUGAAUGUAAUGAUGAUAGUGAUGAUCUCACACAUGACACCUCUUCUCAAGAUGAAAAUAAAACAAAUAGCAGCGACAAGGAUGACAAUGAACUUGGAGGAGCUGAAGUUCCGGUACAAGUCAAAAAAUCAGAAGUUAUAGGAAAAAGUAGAAAAAAGGUUGACCCCUACAAGGUUUUUGAGCACCUUCAGUUGACCUUAGAAGAGGCUUUCUUUCUAUCUUAUGGUCUUGGAUGUCUGAAUGUUUAUGAUGACAAUAAGAAAGCCUUGUCAAUUGGUGAUUUGUGGAGAGAGUUUAGUCAAGUAAAGAAAAACUUUAUUCCAUGUUAUAUUGCAUAUCAUUACUAUCGGUCAAARGGCUGGGUUCCUAAGUGUGGCAUCAAGUAUGGAACAGAUUUUGUAAUCUACAAGGAAGGAAUGCCAUUUUAUCACUCAAGUUAUUCUGUGAUAGUUCAAGUGGCCGACCAAGACUCUCUUGAGCCUGUUAUGACUGAUGUCUGUACACCAUACACCUGGGCWGGUGCUACUGGUUUGAAUAGAGUCAGUGAACAUGCCGCAAAGGAAAUUAUGAUAUGCUAUGUUUUGCUUCCAUCAGGAAUCACAGAAAAAGAGUUGUGUUUGCCUUGUUGCAUACCUCGCUUUAAAGUCCAGGAAGUAGUUUUAAGACGAUGGAUUCCAGAACGAUCAAGAGAACCAACAAAAACAACAUCUUGAAAGUUCCACAGUGUGGAUUCGUGCAAGGAAAAGUCAUAUGAUUCAAGUGUGGUUGAUGCACAAGAAGUAAUUUAGUAAAAGCAUUACGUUUGAGYGUCUUGACAGCACAGUUGACUGACUGCCCAUCYAAGAUGACUGUGCCCUGGAAGACGAUACCAAAGAACCCUGAACCGAGCUCUUUACCAGUCGCUAURAAUGCUUUAUCUAUCUCUCUCCAUGGCAACUCUGGACUAUUUAUCUAGGGAAACAAGAYUGUUAAUAGUAGUAGUAAUGAUGGCAAUAAUUGCAAGGAGUCUACACAAAAAUGGAGAAGAAGAAAAAGAGAAGGAAGAAUGAGCAACAAUUAACAGAGAUGAAUUGCAAGACGAAACACUUGAUGUUGAUGUGAAAAAAGACAGAAGUAGAAACAAGAGAAGUAAAAUCAAGCUAUCAACAGCCGUGUAAUCCAGUACGUGCCGCCUGCAAAGCCGCCAGCUUGUUAACACGUUGAUAUCUAUAGGAUUAAUAGAGAUAUACCUACUCGUUUACGACCUGUCAAUGAGUUCGACAAAACACUUGAAACGCUGCCAUCUCGGGGUGCAUCUCUGCACAGAACUUGUGUAUUUAAUUUCAAUUGCCGCGUGCUUGAGGUGGUAACCUUUGCUGGUUUGCAAGCGAGGCGUAGUAGUGAAUAUUUUGCCUAAAGUCACCUAAUGAAAGGCGAUCUUUAUUAACUAUUGGUACUUUUCAAGAUUUUUACUAAUUGUUGGCAGCUGGUAGCUGGUAGCCUUCGUACCGGCACUUCAUUCUCUCUCUUUAGAAAUAACGGCAGCUGUGCAUUUAACAGUGAUAUAAAUCAGUCAUAAGAAUCGAUAAUAUAAAUAGACGACGCUUUAAGCAGUCUUCAGGCAAAUUGUCUCGAAAUACCAGGUAAAAUGAUGAUAUUAUAUCUCGAAAUACCAGGUAAAAUGAUGAUAUUAUAUCUCGAAAUACCAGGUAAAAUGAUGAUAUUAUGUCUCGAAAUACCAGGUAAAAUGAUGGUAUAAAAAAUAAAGGAAACUUCGAGAAAAUUUGAAAAAGAUUAAGCGAGCCGGGGGACUAAAAGGGAUUUUGKGAAAGUCUGARACUAAGUAUACCUCAGAGAAUAUCACGUCUCCGCCCUUCCUGGACUAGGACAUCCUCUUCCUGCUCGCUUCCUGGACAUCCAGCAGAUAACGGAAACAAGCCUCCCUUUGUUAAAGACCAGUUAUCAUUAUUUGUAUAAAUCGCCGUUAACCAAAAUAAACCCACACCAAUUAGUGAAGUAAUAAACGAUAUCGCCCACGAUUGACGGCACUAUAAUCGUCACGCAGGCGUCACGGAAGUACUACGGAAAUGUCACAUACGGAAAUGUCACGGUUUUGACAGCUGAAUGUCCAUUCAUGAUAUUUUUAUGUCGGUUAAUUGUCAGGUUGUUUUUGAUUAAUAUAUGCAGCAUAGCGUUGUAAAUGAAAAGUUUAAAAACGAAUUCAAAGUAGAUUUCGACAGUUUAGCUUCUUUUGCUUUAAUACAGUUGACUUGAUCAAUGUUUUUUUCCCACGUUUCGUGACGAAGGAAGUGACGUAAAUGCCUUGACAACCGGAAGUAUAGGGGAAAACCACUGCGGCUUGAAUGACAGCCGGCGUGUAUAAAAGACGGCUGCGAGGUCUUAAAAAACAAAGUCGUUCAGUACACAGCAGCAKCUACCGUGUGAAAUAGAAACCUUGAAAUAUUUACAACAUGAAUGCACAGGGUUCUCAGGAUAGGUCUACGAAAUUAUCGCAAAGAAAUGGAGGAAUCACACAAGCUCAAAGAAAUGUUGUAACUCCUCUCUACGCUCGUCAAGAUCGCGUGCUUCGGUUGUACUCGGUUCAAGAGUGGGUGUUUGAGCUGUGUAUUAUGAUUGUUGUGUUGGGAUGUUUCUUUCUGUUUGCACUGCUACGAGGAAUGCUCAAGAAUUCUCCAUUUUUCCAAAGCCAGGGAAUUAUUGGUUGAAUUUACGUUGUGAGCCGUUCGUGAAGAAAAACAUUUCUUGCCGUGACUCUUUUUUGUUAGUCGAUCGAUGCCAGCUCAGCAAAGUUGAAACAGAAAAAGUUUAUACUGAAUCAGACCGCAUUGCUUGCUUCGAAUUGGCAAGGUGAAAAAAAGGAAAAAACUGAACGAAAAUCAAACAAAAAAAGAGAGCAGAAAUAACUUUUGGAAGAAGCUUGAAGAUCUUUGCCGCGAAAAACRAGGGACUUGAAUUAAAAGCAAUCAAGGAAACGUGAAUUGUUUACCGUAUUACUCGAGUGCAAAGUAUUUAUGAACUUGGUAUAAAUUUCAAUUCCUCAAGAGUCUUAUUAUUUAUUGAAUAGUCAAGUAUUUAGUUGCAAAAGAAUCUGUAAAUUGAGUAGUGCAAAGGUCAUUUCCUAUCGGCCAGUUCUAUUGUGUGUMUUCAGAGGUUACACACGGCAGUUCUCAGGGUUUCUAUAGACC